RNAcentral lists this ribosomal RNA (314 nucleotides) under uncultured bacterium. RNAcentral's name for it is "partial 16S ribosomal RNA". It matches the Rfam family "Bacterial small subunit ribosomal RNA", at positions 495 to 807 of the family's 1533-position model. The record is from RNAcentral.
GUAUAAGAGACAGCAGUCGCCACGGUAAUACAGAGGGUGCGAGCGUUAAUCGGAUUUACUGGGCGUAAAGCGUGCGUAGGCGGCUUCUUAAGUCGGAUGUGAAAUCCCUGAGCUUAACUUAGGAAUUGCAUUCGAUACUGGGAAGCUAGAGUAUGGGAGAGGAUGGUAGAAUUCCAGGUGUAGCGGUGAAAUGCGUAGAGAUCUGGAGGAAUACCGAUGGCGAAGGCAGCCAUCUGGCCUAAUACUGACGCUGAGGUACGAAAGCAUGGGGAGCAAACAGGAUUAGAUACCCGAGUAGUCCCUGUCUCUUAUAC